This 4125-nucleotide long non-coding RNA is filed under the name Orbicella faveolata. RNAcentral's name for it is "uncharacterized LOC110069565, transcript variant X1". Lineage: Eukaryota; Metazoa; Cnidaria; Anthozoa; Scleractinia; Merulinidae. The record is from RNAcentral.
GUCUGUGUCUGUGUGUGAAUGAAAUCAUGUCCUGUUUUUUUUCAUAUAUUCUGUAACUUUAUUGCAAUAUUUUUUCCGCUUGGCCCAGCCACUUAGCUCGAUUAGCCUUAGUUAUUUCUAAGUUGCUGUGCUCUGUUUUUCAUUGUUAUUUUUUCACAUUGCAUGUAUUUAUUUUUAUUGUAAAAUUUUUCUCGGCACAAAAUAAAGAUUGUUGUUGUUGUUGCAGGAAAGUUUGAGCAGGAGGACAUUGAUGGACAUAUACUUUUGUCGACUACUGUACAGAGCAGUCAAGCCAUAGAGAAGUUAGGACUCGAUACUACUGGCAAGGAAGGAAAGUUCUCGGAGAAAUAAAUGAACUCAGUGGAGGACCCAUUGCAGGAAGCUGUGAGUGAGAGAAGCCCAUGUCAAGAACUGAUUUUUCCUUGGUGGACAGAAUACUGACCAACACAGAAAACAAUCAAUUGAAUACGACAUAUAGAACCAUUUAUUACAAAAAAGAGGAAAAUCACUAAUUACAUCAAACAGGCUUGGCCUUUGGGGUCUCCAGCACCAAGGUUUAGAAAUAAUCCAGAAGCAACAAAGAAAAUGCUUGUUGUUGUUGACACCCUUGGCAAGGACAAGGGAUUUACUUUACCAAGGCUUGCACUGGGGAGGAAUGCUAUAUUGCAAAUUAUACACAAACACAUGGAUGAAUGAUGAUGUAAGGAGUCUGAGCAGCUGGAAGUGACUAGCAGACUGUGUCUUGUAAGCAGCAGUGAAAGUGAAACCACAAGUAAUACGAGUGGAGACAGCCCAGAAAGUGAUGAGGCAAAGUCAAAUAAAUUGGAUGAUUACUACAACACAGAACUCACUUUAUCAUCAGCAGAAACCAUUAUCUUGGUAUGGCUGGACAGAACCAUCAAUGAUGUUCACCUCAUUAAGGACCUAAGACCAAUUGCUAAAACUCUUAAUCUGAAACUGCUCAGGAACAAAGACAAAACUUCUCACAUCCGUGCUAUUGCAAGUACCCUUUUAAAACAGGAGAAGUUCAAUGUGAAUGCCCCCUUGGAAAAUGUCACCAAGGAUGAUGUUGUUCUAAAUGAGAAGUGACUAUUGGUUGUUACAAUUGCAAGUCAACCUUUAUGGCAACCAGCACUGUGUCUGUCAGCUGACUUUAUAAUCUUGGUCUGAAUAGACAAAGUGACCAACCAUGAUCACAAAUGUCCAGCUAAUCAAGGAACUUAAUCUGGCUGCAUUCAUCAAUGAGACUUUGCCAAACUAUAGUUUUAUGCUGCACAAUGAUCCCAAACACACCUCGAGAUUUGCCCAGGCCUAUUUUGAUGAGCAUGGCAUCGACUGGUGGCCAACCCCUCCCGAAAGCCCAGACCUCAAUCCAAUUGAGAACGUUUGGCAUGAACUGAAGUUGUACCUUGAGUCAAAAGUCAAGCCCUGAACAAAAGAAGAACUCAUUGACGGCAUUCAAAAAUUUUGGAACAAAAGGAUGGAUAGAGCCAAUUGCGGGCGUUACGUGUAUAUCGAUCAUGUCCUUCGGUAGGCUGUUCCAGCUGCUGUCAUGGUGCGUGGUGGUGCAACCUAGUAUUGAACGUUUUAAAUAAGCUUUCAGAAUAAAAACAGCUCCUUUAGGAGCAACCAAAUCUGAGAAAAGUCAAUGGCCAAUAAAAAAGACUACUUUUUUCGGAUCAGAACUUUGAUUUUCAUGCAAAGUUCUCUCCCCUAUUCCCACCCCUUUUGUUAUCCUAGCCCAAGUAAGAAUAGUGACAAAAAUAAUAAUAGAUUCACAUCACUGCAAACUUCCUUAUUAAUCUGGCUGUUUACUUAAGUGCAGAUGAAACUUGACGUAAUUUCAUCGGCUUGGGAUUAUUAACAAUUGAACUGUAUAUUUUACUGCUGACUGAUGUCAGGGUUUUAUUUCUGACUGUUCAUGUGUGUAAAUCAGAAACAUCUUGUUCAGCUGAAAAGAAAUAGUAAGUUUCCAAAAACAGAUUUGAAAACAUUCGAAGUGGGAAUAAUUCUUAAAGAUCAAAUUACUAUUGACACAGAGAAACGUGCAAAAUAACAUUGUUAUUAUUUCUUCAAAUACAUGAAAUGACUAAAUAAUGCAGAAAUGAAGUUAAAAACCAUCCGCGGCUCACUUAAAAGACACAAUAGAUCACAGUAGAUGCAAAAACAAUCAAAAAUGACAGAAUCUCUAUUUUUUCUAUUCAAAGUGCUUUUUGGUAAAAAGAAAAAGAAUGCCACACGCAUGCCCUUAGGUUGCACUAAAGCAUGUGCAUUUGCAGUGUUCUUUCCCUUUUGUCAUAGUAGUAAAUAAGCAUACAUCAUAUUUGCCAUACUAAUUUGGCUGUUGUGAUUGUGGUUCGGCUGAGAAGAAAAGGAAAGUUUUCAGAAACAGAUUUGAGAUCAUUAGCGGUAAGAAAAAAAUUGUAAACAUUGCCAAAUUAUGAGCGAACACACUUUAGAAAUCUUUUUGCAACUCAAAAUUUAGCUUUUGAUUAAGCCACGCUUAAUCAAAAGCACUGUAGCAUUGUUUCAAUCAAAUGGACUAAUAAACAAUAAUGUGUGAAAUCAUUCAAGUGCAAUGUGCACGCCCACCGCACACUUUUGAGUGAAUGAUGAAAAAGACUUGGAAAUCGAUCUGCUUGUUGAAAAAUGUUAAUUGUAAAUUUGUGGUAUGAGUGGAAAAGUAUGCACAAAUUUCACAGCACCUUAAACGAAAAGGUAUUUUUAACGAGAGGGCGACACGUAUAUCAUAGACCAACAGCCUGUACAACAAUAGUUGAUGUGUUGUUUUUGAUUACAUUUGAAUAACAAUUGGAUUCUUAUAACAGUUGAUGCAAAAGCCAAUCAAUUUGCAGGAUUUUCGAUCCAACUGGAGCUUGUGUUUUGUUAUAAAAAGGUUGCAAUCCUUGCCCUAGUCAAUAAACACUUGCUUUCCACAAUCACCACCGUUAAAAUGAGUAGACAAAUCGCACACGUAAACUGGAGUCGAUGACGUUAUUCAGACGUCUUUCAUACUGCUAUAGUUGAUCCAUCGCCGAUCAAACAAGGUAAAAAAGUAUGGGUAAUCUGGGGGAAAACCAAAAAGAAAUACACUGCUGUUUUAAGCAGCUACCCCGUAAAUGAUGAGAACAAGCCUGAGUCUUCUAAAGAUGACCACAGCCAUGUUGAGCAAAAUGAAAACUGGUGAGUCUCAACCUGUCUUAAUUUGCGAUAAACUUGCUUAAACCAUCCUUUUUGGUAAAGAAGAAAUGAUGAUAGAUUGAGACAGCUCAGUAAUCAAAGUAAGAGAAAACUUUUGUGGCUCGCCACCAUCAAAGACAAGUUUACUGCUGUGAGAUCUGAUUAAGUGUUGGCAAAUUUUUUUGCGUCAACUUUUGCUGUAAAUGCGCGUACUGUUUGUUCUGAACUGAUUUUUUCACAAACCCUGCAUAUUUGAUAUUAAUACAAAUUUUGACUUCCCUUUUCAGAUCUCAGAAGCUACGCAAUCCAGUGAACCUGCAAAAAAAAAGGAAGACAAGAGACCCAAAGGCCAAAGACAAAAGAGAAACCCACAGGAAAGAUUCUGGCCACAAAGUCACAGACCAAGUUCUACGUUGAAGAGUCUGAGUCAGAUGCCAGUGACAGUUCAGAUGAGUUGCCGUUAGCCUCAGCCUUGACAGCCUUACAAAGGACCCAGCAGUUUUUCAGACAUUGAUGAUGAAAUAGCGGAUCCAAGUAUGGGGCAGUUGAUCGCUGACGCAAUGAACACUGUGAACAAUGUGACUAAUGCAUGCAAUGCUGAUAGGCAAGAUAGUACCUCCACUGAACUACAACUGAUAAGAACUAUUCUAGAGAGGCUGGAGUGCACAUUUGCAAGGCAAGAAGCCAAACUGGAUAAGCUGUUGCAGCAGACUAACUUGCACUUUAACCAGCAACCCCCACCACCUAUGUUCUCUACCCCUGAUGUGGCUACAAAACAGUUCAGUCAGUCUGCAGAGUACCUCCCAUUUAAGUCAUCCAACCCCAGCAGACCUUCCCUACCAGAACCUACAUCUGCAGAUCCGGACUGGAUAUUGUAUGAUGUCUUCCAACAGUCAAAUCUUGAGUUGGCAGGAUAUUGCACUGUUGGAGGUUCUGCCAGUGUCC